Molecule: long non-coding RNA, 3524 nt
Organism: Oncorhynchus tshawytscha (Chinook salmon)
Lineage: Eukaryota; Metazoa; Chordata; Actinopteri; Salmoniformes; Salmonidae
Source: Ensembl
UGCAUCUCCAUGAGCUGGGCCCAGCCGGCAGUUGCCAUGGAUACUCUGGGUGCUGACACUAGGAGGACUGAGUAGACACUGCUUGUUUAAGACACAAAUCAUAACAAAGGAUUAGAGGCACAAAGUAACCCCGCGGGGUUCUGUGAGAUACACCUCGUCCUCAUCACACAGGCACUAUAAUUAGCUGUGUGGGUGUAUGCUUGUGUGAAGGUGGAGAUCAUGGUGUUUAUUCAAAGCAUUUUACUUUGUAAAAUAGAAUGAGUUCAAGCCCAAGAACAUCAAGAAGAAGAAGAUGAGUAUUAUCAUGUCUGUGGACGAAAACAGAAGGUAAGGGGGGCGGGGGUCUCAACGAUAGGAGAUGGAUUGGGGCGUGUGGCUAUGUGGGGUUUAUUUCGGAUAAUCUUUGAAGAGGGUUUGUAUGAACGCUGUCUGUUGGUGAUAAGUGUGUGUCGGGAUGGGAUGGGGAUGUUUUGGUAUCUACAGGGAUAACAGCAACAGCACUUGACUGUAUCGUGCUGCCAGGGAGCUAGCAUGUUGCACUUCUUUAGGCUGUGUUACGUAGGACUGACACACACACAGUGAUACGGCUGCUUCUUGCCAACAGGAAACUGUGAUAUGAUAAUGACAUGUAUUGAGGUCAGCUGGCCCUGUUCCUUACAAGAAGGAGCAGGAUGAUUCCCACAGCAGCAACAUUAUCCAGGUCACCAACCAAAAUCUGUGAGGGGCCUAAAAUACUGUAAUUCAACCAAAUGACUAUCAACUCAUUGUAACUUAUUGUAGGUCUAUUUAUAGAGGAACUUAUUCAGUUGUUUAGUGUUAACAUUUUUUUAUAAGACAUUGGCCUAUAACACAGAGUUGGAAGCAGACGUUCAGCAAUGACUCUAGUAUAGACUUCUAGUGUAACAAAGAUGGUUCUGUGCAUAUUUAAAAGCCUAGAUGUAUUGAGUUUCAGUGGGUUUUAGAAUGGCUUUACUUUUCCCCAGUGCAAAUGUCAGUGUUCCAUUAGGCCUUGUGGUUUCCUAUGUCCUGAUUCUGGCAUUGGACAGAAUAAUCCUCAUAGUAUCCUCAUCCUCAUAUUCAAUCUCAAUUCCACAUGAUAUGGAAUUAAAUGCAACUGUGGAUUGAUUAUGUCACAAUCAAUAGAAGAGUCUUUGGUUACUACGGCGUUGUUAACCUAGAUGAACUGUUAGUCAUGCGGUCGUGAUUAUGACUCAAUAUGUCAGAACACUGAGAAACACCACUGCUGUUCUGUCCAUAGAAAUAGAAUCAUGUUCUAGUUCUCUGGUUCCGUCAUUCAGCCACAAGACAGAAAGUUGCCUGAAGGCUGUGGAUCAUUGUAUUGUUGACCCAGACGGAGUGUACUUCACAAGGAUUGUCUUUUUCUGAGAAAGCUAACCAUGGAUAACUCUCCUGAAGGUAAGCACUGACUGGACUGAUGUAAAGGUUGAAAAAUGCUGGCAACUUUCCCAAAACUACCAAUGGAGCAAGAUUUGACUUCAUUUCUACAGUCCAAUAGUCAUGGUGUGCUGAAUGUGCCAUUGCUGAACCAAGGCGGUGUCCUCUAAUCUUCCUCGCGUUCUUUGUUUUAGUGAACCAGGAGCAGGGAGACAUACCAAUAAUCCCAUUGGUCCAUGAGCCCAUGUCAGGGUAAGGGUUUUCUACAUAACACAAUGUAACAUCUGCACAUAGGUGCAAUCCUAAUGAAAUGAGAAUUGGGUGAGAAAGAAUCCUAAAGAUGGUCCAAUGGACAUGGUGAGGUCUCUUUAUCUCAAAGUCAUGUUUAACUUCCUGAUGACUGCUAGGGAUGAGAUGCAGAGAGCCCAGAAUCAGGUGAACAACUUGCAGCAGUCAAUGAACCACAUGCAUGAGCAGCUGAAUUCCAUGGGGAGGCAGUUUACUGAGUUGCAGAGUGCCCUCUCUCAGGUAGUAGAUUAGUCUCCGCAAGAGUAGAAUGAGUCAUGUGUAGUCAUGAUGUUAUGAAGAUUGAUGAUGAUGAUGGCUGGGAUUGUGAUGAUGUUGAUGAUGAGGACUGGAAUGGUAAUGGUAAUGAUGUCUUUGUAACUCCUAUACUCCACCUGUACUGGAUAGCUCCUUGAUGACAACAUGCCUAUGGCACCUGAAGCGGAGGGGAUCCAACUGAAGAACGUCACCCCUGCACAGUGGGACAGAAUCCUCCCGAUAGGAAUCAUCCAGAGGGAGGAUCCCAACCAGAACCAAUCAUUCCAACAAUACGUCAUCCCAAUCAAAAACAAUGGAAUGGAACAGAUGGAAUAUCAUGGACCACCUCCACCUCCCAUCAUCCCCAUGGUGGGAUCCUGGGACACUGGAGUGAAUGCUCCACGUUGUGGAGAUUUCUAUGCCAGGAGAAAAGAUAUCCGGAGUAGAUAUGUGGCGGAUCCUGCUUUAAUGACCAUCACCAAGCCAGAACACUUCGAGGCCAACCCUCAGAGCCAGGCUGGCAGUUGGCCGGUGGCUAAACCUCAGCACCCAGCACCCCCAGUACAGAAAACACGAAACAGUGGAGGCUGGCUCAGGUGGUUCUUCGGAGAAAAGGAAGAAGUUCUUCAGAUGACAAGGAUACCAGAUGACAAGCCUAAUUCUAUUGUCUGGGAUCAAAACCUGCACAGAUGGGUUGACGCAAGUCCCAUGCCCAAGACUGAGAACAAGCCUGUUCCACCUCCUCCCCCGAUGGGGAUGUAUCUGGAGAACUCUAGUCUCCCCAAAGGAGUGAAUCCUUACUCCAUGAAAGCAGCAGAUCAAGGAAGCCUAGGGGACAGGUAUCCCAAGCUAUUGUACCAUGGUGGGAUCACUACAACACCUCCAUACCAGGGUCCUGGAUCGCUCCCUGCCCAGCAUGCAACACUCAUGGCACCGAUGACUGUGCCAUUCGAUGUUGACAGGCAGAAACUUGGCCCAGGCACUCUACCCUUUUGAGAAUCGACACUGAACAAUCCUUCUGCAACGAUUUAUUUAAUUAGCUUUAAUAUACAGCAACACUUGGCUGAAGUUUCAGUGAUUUUUAAGCUAUUUAUUUUUGUCUCACAGGUCGUUUUCCAGGAGGGAUCAUUUGAUAUUUCAGCAUUUUAAAAGACAAAAUAAAAUAAGAUUUCGGGCUUUGAAAAGUUAUUAAAAAUCUGUAUGUUCACGUAGCUUUGAUAUGUUUUCUGGCAUCCUUUACAAGCCCAUCGCUUGUGCACAUUUCUCUAUGUUACAUACUUUACAGAUGGGUAUAUUAUUUAUACAUAUGUUUUUCAAAAUAUAUUCAAAAAAGAAUUAAUCUAUUUCAUAAACAUAAUAUCAAAUGUAAAUAAAGUGCAUUUUAAAUUGUACACCAUAUAUUUCAAUAUAUGACUUUACUGCAGGCCUAGCGUUGUGGGUGGGCCUUAGGGAGCCAUGCUCGCCCUACCGCACCUCCUAGCCUGUCCAAAUAAAAUACAUGGUUGAAUGAAACUUUGCAAGACUUAUAUUUUUUUGUUGUUGUUGCUAUAACACUAAUGUAUGAUAUUUGUCCAUUUAAAGUUUUA